UAAUUUUCGAAAAUGAGCACCGCUAUUGUUCACUUUCACGUUAUUCGUGAACGAUUCAGAAUGCAGACCGAUAAUAGUCCACUGAAAUGGGGCCAGACACCCUAAAUUGGGGGUAGGGAGGGGGAAAUUGAUCUAAGGGUAAAAAGCUAAUAAAACUUACAAAGAUUAUUCCUGGCAUAAGAAGAAGAA
Molecule: long non-coding RNA, 189 nt
Filed under: Polistes fuscatus (common paper wasp)
Lineage: Eukaryota; Metazoa; Arthropoda; Insecta; Hymenoptera; Vespidae
Description: uncharacterized LOC122518240
Source: RNAcentral